GGGAGGUAGUGACAAUAAAUAACAAUACAGGGCCCUUACGGGUCUUGUAAUUGGAAUGAGUACAAUUUAAAUCUCUUAACGAGGAACAAUUGGAGGGCAAGUCUGGUGCCAGCAGCCGCGGUAAUUCCAGCUCCAAUAGCGUAUAUUAAAGUUGUUGCAGUUAAAAAGCUCGUAGUUGAAUUUUGGGUCUGGCCGGGCGGUCCGCCCUCUGGGUGAGCACUGUUCCGACGCCGGGCCUAUCCUUCUGGUGAGUCGGCAUGUCCUUUGUUGGGUGUGUCGGGGAACCAGGACCAUUACCUUGAAAAAAUUAGAGUGUUCAAAGCAGGCGUAUGCUCGGAUACAUUAGCAUGGAAUAAUGAAAUAGGACGCGUGGUGCUAUUUUGUUGGUUUCUAGAACCGCUGUAAUGAUUAAUAGGGAUAGUUGGG
RNAcentral lists this ribosomal RNA (426 nucleotides) under uncultured Ambisporaceae. RNAcentral describes it as "SSU rRNA". It matches the Rfam family "Eukaryotic small subunit ribosomal RNA", at positions 459 to 886 of the family's 1831-position model. Lineage: Eukaryota; Fungi; Glomeromycota; Glomeromycetes; Archaeosporales; Ambisporaceae. The record is from RNAcentral.